ACUACACCGUAUUCUGUGAGUUGCGAACGGGUGAGUAACGCGUAGGUAACCUGCCUGGUAGCGGGGGAUAACUAUUGGAAACGAUAGCUAAUACCGCAUAAGAACAUUUACUGCAUGGUAGAUGUUUAAAAGGUGCAAAAGCAUCACUACCAGAUGGACCUGCGUUGUAUUAGCUAGUUGGUGAGGUAACGGCUCACCAAGGCAACGAUACAUAGCCGACCUGAGAGGGUGAUCGGCCACACUGGGACUGAGACACGGCCCAGACUCCUACGGGAGGCAGCAGUAGGGAAUCUUCGGCAAUGGGGGGAACCCUGACCGAGCAACGCCGCGUGAGUGAAGAAGGUUUUCGGAUCGUAAAGCUCUGUUGUUAAGGAAGAACGUGUGUGAGAGUGGAAAGUUCACACAGUGACGGUACUUAACCAGAAAGGGACGGCUAACUACGUGCCAGCAGCCGCGGUAAUACGUAGGUCCCGAGCGUUGUCCGGAUUUAUUGGGCGUAAAGCGAGCGCAGGCGGUUAGAUAAGUCUGAAGUGAAAGGCAGUGGCUCAACCAUUGUAGGCUUUGGAAACUGUUUAACUUGAGUGCAGAAGGGGAGAGUGGAAUUCCAUGUGUAGCGGUGAAAUGCGUAGAUAUAUGGAGGAACACCGGUGGCGAAAGCGGCUCUCUGGUCUGUAACUGACGCUGAGGCUCGAAAGCGUGGGGAGCGAACAGGAUUAGAUACCCUGGUAGUCCACGCCGUAAACGAUGAGUGCUAGGUGUUAGGUCCUUUCCGGGACUUAGUGCCG
This 785-nucleotide ribosomal RNA is filed under the name uncultured Streptococcaceae bacterium. Its description in RNAcentral is "bacterial SSU rRNA". It matches the Rfam family "Bacterial small subunit ribosomal RNA", at positions 76 to 848 of the family's 1533-position model. Lineage: Bacteria; Bacillati; Bacillota; Bacilli; Lactobacillales; Streptococcaceae. The record is from RNAcentral.